UACGUAGGCAGCGAGCGUUGUUCGGAAUUACUGGGCGUAAAGAGUGUGUAGGCGGUGCUCUAAGUUCGGUGUGAAAUCUCCCGGCUUAACUGGGAGGGUGCGCCGGAAACUGGAGUGCUCGAGCGUGGGAGAGGAAAGCGGAAUUCCUGGUGUAGCGGUGAAAUGCGUAGAUAUCAGGAGGAACACCUGCGGUGUAGACGGCUUUCUGGAACGCAACUGACGCUGAGACGCGAAAGCGUGGGGAGCAAACAGG
This 253-nucleotide ribosomal RNA is filed under the name uncultured bacterium. RNAcentral describes it as "partial 16S ribosomal RNA". It matches the Rfam family "Bacterial small subunit ribosomal RNA", at positions 524 to 776 of the family's 1533-position model. The record is from RNAcentral.